AUUGAACGCUGGCGGCAUGCCUUACACAUGCAAGUCGAACGGUAACGCGGGGCAACCUGGCGACGAGUGGCGAACGGGUGAGUAAUGCAUCGGAACGUGCCCAGAAGUGGGGGAUAGCCCGGCGAAAGCCGGAUUAAUACCGCAUGAGACCUGAGGGUGAAAGCGGGGGAUCGCAAGACCUCGCGCUUUUGGAGCGGCCGAUGUCAGAUUAGCUAGUUGGUGGGGUAAAGGCCUACCAAGGCGACGAUCUGUAGCUGGUCUGAGAGGACGACCAGCCACACGGGGACGGAGACAGGGCCCGGACCCCGAGGGGGGGCGCCAGGGGGAAUUUUGGAAAAAGGGGCGAAGGCCGGACCAAGCCAGGCGGGGGGGGGAAAAAGGGCGUCGGGUUGGAAACGCGUUUUUGCAGGGAAAGAACCGCUGGGGGCUAACACCGGGGGGAAAGGACGGUACCGAAAAAAAAAGAACGGGCAACCUACGUG
This 482-nucleotide ribosomal RNA is filed under the name uncultured bacterium. RNAcentral's name for it is "partial 16S ribosomal RNA". It matches the Rfam family "Bacterial small subunit ribosomal RNA", at positions 29 to 507 of the family's 1533-position model. The record is from RNAcentral.